AUUGCCAAAAGCAGGCAUUAAUAGAUGUAAUGCAAAAAUAGUGUCUUGUGUUCAAAAAAGGUUGGGAAAUACUGAGUGAAAGAAUAGUGCACAAACCAUAGGCACACAGCUCGAGGAAUUAUCAGGAACUGAACAUGUCCACGUGUGCCCGACCCUGCUCUCCAGCAUACCCUCCCAGCCUCAACCCAUCAUCUGGAUUCCGAGGUUCUUGGCUCCAGUGAGGACGUUAUUGCUGAGAAUUAGAUGCUGAAGUUGGCACCAUCAAAUAACUAGUCCUGGAUGCCUGUCACUAAUAGCAGCCAUCUCACUGCCUCAGGAACUCAAGUUUACCAUGGUCACCACAGCCUCGGAGAAUACUCACCUCAUCCUUUUUGUGCAUCACUAGCUCUCAAUUCUAAAAAAGGAAAGAACAUCUGAUUGGCAAAGCCUAGGUGAUACAAAUACCUGGAGUUCUCAUCUUUUCUAAUGGGAAGUAACUCUGCUUGCUGUUAAGACUCACAGAGUAAAUAAUCACCAGCUCCUGGAGGGGCUCAUGGGUAGGUAUGGAGAGAGAUGAGCAAUGGUCUACACAGAUGACAGAACAUAUCUGCACCCCUAAGUGACUUUGGAGUAAACCAGAGUAAAAGCAACCAAAACAGAGUCCAAGUCAGGGUCCUUCCAUCCUCAAACCAGGCUCCAGUGG
This 682-nucleotide long non-coding RNA is filed under the name Pongo abelii (Sumatran orangutan). RNAcentral's name for it is "lincRNA". Lineage: Eukaryota; Metazoa; Chordata; Mammalia; Primates; Hominidae. The record is from RNAcentral.